This 650-nucleotide ribosomal RNA is filed under the name uncultured bacterium. RNAcentral describes it as "bacterial SSU rRNA". It matches the Rfam family "Bacterial small subunit ribosomal RNA", at positions 57 to 692 of the family's 1533-position model. The record is from RNAcentral.
GCAGUCGAGCGACAGAAGGGAGCUUGCUCCCGGAUGUUAGCGGCGGACGGGUGAGUAACACGUGGGUAACCUGCCUGUAAGACUGGGAUAACUCCGGGAAACCGGAGCUAAUACCGGAUAGUUCCUUGAACCGCAUGGUUCAAGGAUGAAAGACGGUUUCGGCUGUCACUUACAGAUGGACCCGCGGCGCAUUAGCUAGUUGGUGGGGUAAUGGCUCACCAAGGCGACGAUGCGUAGCCGACCUGAGAGGGUGAUCGGCCACACUGGGACUGAGACACGGCCCAGACUCAUACGGGAGGCAGCAGUAGGGAAUCUUCCGCAAUGGACGAAAGUCUGACGGAGCAACGCCGCGUGAGUGAUGAAGGUUUUCGGAUCGUAAAGCUCUGUUGUUAGGGAAGAACAAGUGCGAGAGUAACUGCUCGCACCUUGACGGUACCUAACCAGAAAGCCACGGCUAACUACGUGCCAGCAGCCGCGGUAAUACGUAGGUGGCAAGCGUUGUCCGGAAUUAUUGGGCGUAAAGGGCUCGCAGGCGGUUUCUUAAGUCUGAUGUGAAAGCCCCCGGCUCAACCGGGGAGGGUCAUUGGAAACUGGGAAACUUGAGUGCAGAAGAGGAGAGUGGAAUUCCACGUGUAGCGGUGAAAUGCGUA